RNAcentral lists this ribosomal RNA (585 nucleotides) under uncultured Sydowia. RNAcentral describes it as "eukaryotic LSU rRNA". The stretch from base 208 to 361 matches the Rfam family "5.8S ribosomal RNA". The record is from RNAcentral. Lineage: Eukaryota; Fungi; Ascomycota; Dothideomycetes; Dothideales; Dothioraceae.
UAGGUGAACCUGCGGAAGGAUCAUUAAAGAGAUAGGGUCUUCAUGGCCCGACCUCCAACCCUCUGUUGUUAAAACUACCUUGUUGCUUUGGCGGGACCGUCUCGGUCUCCGAGCGCACUAACCCUCGGGUUGGUGAGUGCCCGCCAGAGUCCAACCAAACUCUUGUAUUAAACCAGUCGUCUGAGUAUAAAAUUUUAAUUAAAUUAAAACUUUCAACAACGGAUCUCUUGGUUCUCGCAUCGAUGAAGAACGCAGCGAAAUGCGAUAAGUAAUGUGAAUUGCAGAAUUCAGUGAAUCAUCGAAUCUUUGAACGCACAUUGCGCCCCUUGGUAUUCCGAGGGGCAUGCCUGUUCGAGCGUCAUUACACCACUCAAGCAUCGCUUGGUAUUGGGAACGGUCCGUCGAAAGGCGGGCCUUCCUCGAAGACCUCGGCGGGGUUCAACCAACUUCGGGCGUAGUAGAGUUAAAUCGAACGUCUUAUAAGCUUGGUCGGAUCUCAUUGCCGUUAAACCUUUAAAUUUUCUAAGUUGACCUCGGAUCAGGUAGGGAUACCCGCUGAACUUAAGCAUAUCAAUAAGCGGAGGA